Molecule: ribosomal RNA, 266 nt
Filed under: uncultured archaeon
Lineage: Archaea
Description: partial 16S ribosomal RNA
Rfam family: Archaeal small subunit ribosomal RNA
Source: RNAcentral
AGUCACUGACAUUAGAUACCCCUGUAGUCCAGGGCGUAAACGCUGCAGACUUGGUGUUGGAAGCCCUUUGGGGGCAUUCAGUGCCGGAGAGAAGUUGUUAAGUCUGCUACUUGGGGGAGUACGUCCGCAAGGAUGAAACUUAAAGGAAUUGGCGGGGGAGCACCGCAACGGGAGGAGCGUGCGGUUUAAUUGGAUUCAACACCGUAAAACUCACCAGGGAAGACUGUUACAUGAAGGCCGAGAUGAAGACUCUGCCAGAUUUUCAG